GCCGCCGGUAGAUACUGUCAGUACUAGAGUUUAUUGAAUGUAGGCGGAAUGUAGCAAGUAGCGGAGAAAUGCUUAGAGAUGUUACAGAACACACAUAGCGAAGGCAGCUUAGGAAGAUAUAAAUGACGCUCAUGCAGGAAAGCGUGGAGAUCAAACAGGAUUAGCUACCUUGGUAGUCCCACGCUGUACACGAUGAUAACUGGGAUUAGUCGAUACACAGUCAGAGGAUGAGAGAAAUCAAUAAGUUAUCUACGUGGUGAGUACGACGGCAACGUUGACACUCAAGAGAAUCGACGGAGUCCAGCACAAGCGGAGGAGCAUGUGGUUUAAUUGGAUGAUACGCGAGGAACGUUACCCGCGCUUAAAUGGCAGAUGCUGUAUGUGGAAAGGCAUAUUUCUACGGACAUCUGUGAAGGUGCUGCAUGGUUGUCGUCAGCCCGUUCCGUGAGGUGUCGGGUUAAGUCCCAUAACGAGCGCAACCAUCAUAAUCAGUUACCAGCGUGUAGAGGCGGGGACUCUGGAUAGACUGCCUACGCAAGUAGAGAGGAAGGUGGGGAAGACGUCAAAUCAGCAAGGCCAUCACGUCCGGGGUUUCACACGUGACGCAAUGGUGACUACAAAGAGGAGAGAACUCGCAAGGGCAAGGGGAUCUCAAAAAUGUCAUCCCAGUUUGGAUUGUGGGAUGCAACCCGC
RNAcentral lists this ribosomal RNA (693 nucleotides) under uncultured bacterium. RNAcentral describes it as "bacterial SSU rRNA". It matches the Rfam family "Bacterial small subunit ribosomal RNA", at positions 619 to 1315 of the family's 1533-position model. The record is from RNAcentral.